UUGCUGUGAUGACAGUCUUAGGACACCUUUGGAUUAACUGUGAAAAGAAUCAUGUUCUGAGCAAC
Small nucleolar RNA from Pipistrellus kuhlii (Kuhl's pipistrelle), 65 nucleotides. RefSeq annotates it as small nucleolar RNA SNORD58. The record is from RefSeq and is a predicted model, not a curated record. The transcript has a single exon. NCBI's taxonomy places the organism in Eukaryota, Metazoa, Chordata, Mammalia, Chiroptera, Vespertilionidae.